RNAcentral lists this ribosomal RNA (491 nucleotides) under uncultured bacterium. RNAcentral describes it as "bacterial SSU rRNA". It matches the Rfam family "Bacterial small subunit ribosomal RNA", at positions 28 to 526 of the family's 1533-position model. The record is from RNAcentral.
GAUCAACGCUGGCGGCGUGCCUAAUGCAUGCAAGUCGCGCGCGGGUCCCUUCGGGGGUGCUGCGCGGCGGACGGGUGCGUAACACGUGGGCAACCUGCCCUGGGGUGGGGGAUAGCCGUGGGAAACCGCGGGUAAUUCCGCAUACGUUCAGGUCUCAAGCGGGGAUCUGAAGAAAGGGAGCAAUCCCGCCCGAGGAGGGGCCUGCGGCCGAUUAGCUGGACGGUGGGGUCACGGCCUACCGUGGCGAUGAUCGGUAGCUGGUCUGAGAGGACGGCCAGCCACACGGGGACUGAGACACGGCCCCGACUCCUACGGGAGGCAGCAGCAAGGAAUCUUCCGCAAUGGGGGCAACCCUGACGGAGCAACGCCGCGUGGGGGAUGACGCCCUUCGGGGUGUAAACCCCUUUUCUGCGGGAAGAAGGCGCUCACGCGCUUGACGGUACCGGAGGAAGAAGGACCGGCUAACUACGUGCCAGCAGCCGCCGUAAUAC